This 434-nucleotide ribosomal RNA is filed under the name uncultured Lachnospiraceae bacterium. RNAcentral's name for it is "bacterial SSU rRNA". It matches the Rfam family "Bacterial small subunit ribosomal RNA", at positions 341 to 792 of the family's 1533-position model. The record is from RNAcentral. Lineage: Bacteria; Bacillati; Bacillota; Clostridia; Lachnospirales; Lachnospiraceae.
ACGGAAGGCAGCAGUGGGGAAUAUUGCACAAUGGGCGAAAGCCUGAUGCAGCGACGCCGCGUGAACGAAGAAGUAUUUCGGUAUGUAAAGUUCUAUCAGCAGGGAAGAUAAUGACGGUACCUGACUAAGAAGCACCGGCUAAAUACGUGCCAGCAGCCGCGGUAAUACGUAUGGUGCAAGCGUUAUCCGGAUUUACUGGGUGUAAAGGGAGCGCAGGCGGCGCGGCAAGUCUGAUGUGAAAGCCCGGGGCUCAACCCCGGUACUGCAUUGGAAACUGUCGUGCUAGAGUGUCGGAGGGGUAAGCGGAAUUCCUAGUGUAGCGGUGAAAUGCGUAGAUAUUAGGAAGAACACCAGUGGCGAAGGCGGUUAGCUGGACAAUAACUGACGCUGAGGCGCGAAAGCGUGGGUAGCAAACAGGAUUAGAUACCCUGGUA